ACAGCCCCUUGGCAAGCAUGCAGCCUUUGUUCCUCUGCCUACAUAAGCAAGCUUCUCUUGCGGGGCGGUUGUGGGUGCACACUUCCAUCCAGCCGGUCGCCACUGGACAUGCUCCUAAAGUCCAUUGUGAUUAGUGGCUGUGGUCAGAAGUUAUCCAGCUUGAGGCAGAUUGAAUUUCUCACAAUUCUUCACUCUCCUGUAGAGACUAUGCCAUGUAACAUGCUAGCCUCUGAGUACCGGAAAAAUGAGGAAGAAACCCAGUCUUCAAGAAGCUCUGUCUAGAGAUGCUGUUUCAAAAUUGAUUAGUUCUCCGACCCGCCCACUGAACUCACCCAACCUAUUGAAGAAACAGAAUGGGCUGUGGAUUAUAGGGUUUCAGAUAAUACCAAGUCCCUGGUGAAAGUGUUGAAGCGAGACUGAGCACAGUGGAACUGACCUCAAUGAGCUCUUGGCCCCUCGACAGCAGAGGGAGCAGAGGGAGAGAGUGAUGGAGGCAAUCACUACCCCUCUCUUCUCGGAAGAGGAAAAUAAACACAUUAUAAUCUCUAAGUUAGAGAUGUUUUUGAUAUUCCUGCUCUACACAACUGAUCCUACCAAGGAAGAAGCACUGAGGAAAUGUGACAUGAAUGUCAGCAAAAUGUACCAUACUAACAGUUGCAUCUCAAUUAAGAAAAAAAUAGAUCACCAACAUGAACCUGCGUGCUUCUGGAAGAACAGGGAUGCUCAGGAAGCUGGGAAGAGAAUCCUUCAGAUGGGGAAACGGAAGCCCAAAGAACUGAAAGAACCUGCCCAAGAUCACACAACCGUAAGUGACAAAGCCAAGAUUUGAAGGUAGUUGUCCGGCUCCACUGUCCGUACUCUUAACCACUAUACCAAACUGCCUCUUCAUUCUUUGUUUUGCUUUGAUAUUUUUUGUUUUCAUGUUUUUCUGAUUACAUAAUUAAUCUAGUCUUACUGUAAAACUUAAAACAAGAAAAGUGUGAGGAAGAAAGUACAAGCCCACCUGCAGCCCCACAUCCAGGGAUGAUGAGCAUCAGCACGUUGGUGAUGAUCCUCCUUUCAUCUGUCACAGGCAUUGACUCAUGUUCGUAUGAUUUUACCUGAAUGGAAUAAUAUCCUGUCAUACAUGAUUUAUUUUUUAAAUAAGGACCUCUUUUGCUUUGUUUUACUAACCUCCUCCUUUCCAUUCCCAUGCCCCCAAACACAUUUAACAAACUAGUACAUAUCCUUUUUUUAAGUUUACAUAUAUAAAAUUUUAAAAUAAAUGCUUAUAUAUACACACACAUUUACAAAUAAGUGUAUUUAUAUACAGAUACGGGGCUUUUUUGGGAAGCUAUUUUUUGUUUUACAAAAUGGGAUCAUAUUAUGCACACUGCUCUGCAUCUUGCUUUUCUCAUUGAACAAUAUCUUAGAAGUUUCUGACGUCACCUGGAUUGAUUUACCUCACUAUUUGUAAUGGUCGCACACUAUUUCAUUGUGUGGUUAAUUUUAUAACUCCUCUAACAACAAAAUUCUGCCCAGUUAAUAUUUUCUUUCUACAGAUGUUUUAGCCUGGUUUUCCCUCUAAAGCAAAGUCCGAGACAAGGGCUUGCGUGCAUGCAAUUCAUUAGGGAAGGGAGCCCGGGGUCUGGGACGAGAGACUGGGAAAGCGAAACGCACAAGGCAGGACAGCCAGUGCCAAGGGGCUUCCUUGAGCGGGCGCCUGCUGUGGGCCGCCGGGUGCGCCCUCUCUGAGACGCCUUACUCAGCGAGACUUAGAACUCUUGAGCGUCUGCGGUCGGGCCCCUACGACACGCGGUCAGCAAUUACGCCUCAAGGAAAACGGCCUGUCGUGCUGCGCAUGCGCCGCUGCAGAGCAGCCUGGGUAGACCGGAAGCCAGUGCCGGCAGGCGUACUUCCGGUUCGUUUGUGCUGGGCUGGUCGCCAAAGCAGUGGCUGCAGUGAACGUUGGACUGAGAGGAAAGGAAGCUGCUUCCGAUCCGGAAAGUCGCACGCGCUUUCCUCUGGCUUUCCCUAUCCUGGAGAUCCACGGGUUUCAUGCAAGGGACAAACUCUUACCCUUUGGUCUGACAGCAACAAUGAUAAGAACGUACCCCGUUUUCGGCACCAACUUUGUAUGGGGUGCUCUACACCGCACAUGUGCGUCUUCACAACAGUCACCAGAGGCAGGUGUUUUCCGGAGAGGGCAGGGGAGGCCAGAGGAUUAUGAGGGAGAGGCCGUUUGUACCGUGUUCUCCUGGUAUUCCCAAUGGUUCGUGCAAUGCGUGCUGCUUAAAGGAUGGUCAGUCCAGCCAGACCUUUAAAGGAGUGCUGUUGAAGCCACUUGCGCUAACUCGCACACCCAAUGCCUGGGACAUCUGGCAAUUCAACCCGGGACUUUCUGCCUCCAAAACAUAUGUGUCUUCUAAUAAGCAGGUGGUCUAAAAUUUUUUUUCUCACCUGCAAUCUAAAAGAAUUUUGUAAAACUUCUUGCACAUUUUGAAGUGGAAUAUGUAAAAUCGUUUAUCCUAAUUUGAAAACUUAUUUUUUAAUAGGAAGGAAAUAAUAAACAUUUUAUAAAAUGAAAUAAGAGGAAGAUGGUCUACAUUUAGUCCAUUGAGGUUGUGUUUGUGUUGCGAUGUGAUAAAAUGAGUUUUAACUACUUACUGGAUAGCAUUCACUGACCAUGAAAAAAUUGUAUAAAGUUUUUAUCUGUAGAUUUUAUGCAGUUUAUCUUGGAAAAUCUUGAAAACAGUGCAGUUACAUUGAAAGGAAUCACCAUUGCUACCCUCAACUGCUUCAGUUGUUCUGAAUCUGGAAUAUUCCAAUAAUGGCCAAGCUUCCUCCCUACAGGGAUAUGUUUAGAAUGGGGGAACAUUGAGAAGCUCCAUGGUUUGGGAUGGAAGAGGGGCUACCUGUCUUUUGAGAAGUCGUUGUCUUCUUAGACCUCUGUGCCUCUUUAGAACCUCUCGACUACCUCUUCAUAGAAAUAUCUUCUUUUUCUGACUUUCCAGUUUUUUUUUAAUGGAUGACCCAUGAUAAUGACAAAAAAUUAAGCCAUAUAAAAUUACAAAGAAUACAAAAAGCACCGCAAAUCCCACCACCCAGAUAGAACAUUAUCUUCUCCCUUGCCGUUGACAUGACAUUGCCUUUUCAUGGUUCUUCUCCUCCCUUCCUUGUCUUUUGGCUAACUCCUCUUCUUCCUUCCAAAAUCUAAUUCUUAUAACAAGAGCUAUGGGUUGGAUAUUAUCAAUCUCAUUUUACAGAUGCUGAAACUGAUCUCUCCAUGCCAGCAAAGAUCUCUGAGUUCUAUGAUUUGUGAUUGUCAGGGAAAGUCUGAAAUAAGAGGCUCAUAAAUUUCUUUAACCUUCUAGAGAUGAUAACCUACUUAUGGGAAGUCAAGGGCUAGCACAUCUGUCUGUAGAAUUCUAGGAGGGGAUUCUCUUGAAGGAAGUUUCCUCUCCAGCUUUUAUGUUUGUUUCUUUGGAUAACAAACCAACCAACAACAAAAACGUUAGGGUAGAAAAUAAGCACAUCCAUAGUCAAUUGCUUCACUUCAAAAAUACUUUGGGCCCAUGUAGUUUGAGGAUAAAACCAAACUGACUACUUGUCAGGUCUCUCUUAUUUCUCUCUCCUGGGUUGUUUUUUAUUUAUCUCAAUUCCAUGAAAAUAUAUUAUGGUUUGACAAAUAAACUGUGAAUACUCAAAAAGAUGUAUUAUAUUUCCAAAAUAUACUGUCUUCUCACAGUCAUUUAAGGUAGAGUAUAUGUUGAAACACAUAUAAUUAAAUAUAAGAAUGG
Equus caballus (horse) is the source of this 3779-nucleotide non-coding RNA. The record is from RefSeq and is a predicted model, not a curated record. Lineage: Eukaryota; Metazoa; Chordata; Mammalia; Perissodactyla; Equidae.